CGGGCCGGUCAAGUAUAAGCAAAAAUAUACAGUGAAACUGCGAAUGGCUCAUUAAAUCAGUUAUCGUUUAUUUGAUAGUACCUUACUACUUGGAUAACCGUGGUAAUUCUAGAGCUAAUACAUGCUAAAAACCCCGACUUCGGAAGGGGUGUAUUUAUUAGAUAAAAAACCAAUGCCUUCGGGCUCCUUGGUGAUUCAUGAUAACUUAACGAAUCGCAUGGCCUUGUGCCGGCGAUGGUUCAUUCAAAUUUCUGCCCUAUCAACUUUCGAUGGUAGGAUAGUGGCCUACCAUGGUUUCAACGGGUAACGGGGAAUUAGGGUUCUAUUCCGGAGAGGGAGCCUGAGAAACGGCUACCACAUCCAAGGAAGGCAGCAGGCGCGCAAAUUACCCAAUCCCGACACGGGGAGGUAGUGACAAUAAAUACUGAUACAGGGCUCUUUUGGGUCUUGUAAUUGGAAUGAGUACAAUUUAAAUCCCUUAACGAGGAACAAUUGGAGGGCAAGUCUGGUGCCAGCAGCCGCGGUAAUUCCAGCUCCAAUAGCGUAUAUUAAAGUUGUUGCAGUUAAAAAGCUCGUAGUUGAACCUUGGGUCUGGCUGGUCGGUCCUCCUCACCGAGUGUACUGAUCCGGCCGGACCUUUCCUUCUGGCUAGCCGCAUGCCCUUCACUGGGUGUGUCGGGGAACCAGGACUUUUACUUUGAAAAAAUUAGAGUGUUCAAAGCAGGCAUUUGCUCGAAUACAUUAGCAUGGAAUAAUAGAAUAGGACGUGCGGUUCUAUUUUGUUGGUUUCUAGGACCGCCGUAAUGAUUAAUAGGGAUAGUCGGGGGCAUCAGUAUUCAAUUGUCAGAGGUGAAAUUCUUGGAUUUAUUGAAGACUAACUACUGCGAAAGCAUUUGCCAAGGAUGUUUUCAUUAAUCAGUGAACGAAAGUUAGGGGAUCGAAGACGAUCAGAUACCGUCGUACUCUUACCCAUAAACUAUGCCGACUAGGGAUCGUUGGAUGCUUACUAGAUGGCUCCAUCGGCACCUUACGACAAAUCAAAGUCUUUGGGUUCUGGGGGGAGUAUGGUCGCAGGCUGAACCUUAAAGAAAAUUGUAGACGAGA
RNAcentral lists this ribosomal RNA (1104 nucleotides) under Tuber sp. RNAcentral's name for it is "SSU rRNA". It matches the Rfam family "Eukaryotic small subunit ribosomal RNA", at positions 50 to 1165 of the family's 1831-position model. Lineage: Eukaryota; Fungi; Ascomycota; Pezizomycetes; Pezizales; Tuberaceae. The record is from RNAcentral.